Molecule: long non-coding RNA, 4461 nt
Filed under: Sus scrofa (pig)
Lineage: Eukaryota; Metazoa; Chordata; Mammalia; Artiodactyla; Suidae
Description: lncRNA (ENSSSCG00015022074.1)
Source: RNAcentral
UUUGGCUAGGACUUCCAAUACUAUGUUGAAUAGAAGGGGUGAGAAUGGGCAUCCUUGUCUUGUUCCAGACUUUAGCAGGAAAGCUUUCAGUUUUUCUCUGUUAAGUAUUAUAUUGGCUGUGGAUUUGUCAUAAAUAGCUUUUAUUAUGUUGAGAUAUGUUCCCUCUAUACCCACUUUAGUAAGAGUUUUUGUCAUGAAUGGAUAUAGAAUUUUGUCAAAUGCUUUUCCUGCGUCUAUUGAGAUAAUCACUUGAUUUUUGCCUUUACAUUUGUUUACAUGGUGUAUUAUAUUGAUUGAUUCACAUAUGUUGAACCUUUCUUGUGAACUUGGGAUGAAUCCCACUUGGCCAUGGUGUCUGAUCUUUUUUAUGUGUUGGAUUUUGUUUGCUAGAGUUUUGUUGAGAAUUUUUGCAUCUGUAUUCAUCAAAGAUAUUGGCCUGUAAUUUUCCUUUCUUUCUUUUUUUUCUUUUCUUUCCUUCCUUCCUCCUCCCCUUCUUUCUUUCCUUUUGCUGCCACCCCAGUGGCGUAUGGAAGUUCCCGGGCUAAGGGUCAAAUCGGAGUUGUAGCUGCCAGCCUAUGCUGCAACUUGUAGCAACACCAGGUCCUUAACCCACUGAGUGAGGCCAGGGAUUGAACCUGCAUCCUCAUGGAUACUAGUCUGGUUCAUAACUCACUGAGCCACAUUGGGAACUCCUCUUUCCUAUCUCAUUUCCUCAUUGACCCAUUGGGUUUUUUGUUUUUUUUUUUUGAUAGGCAAAAAAUAGAUUUAUUAGGGGAGGACGCUUGUGAGAGAUGCAAGCAGACAGGCAUAGAAGCUCUGCUGGUGGGCUACAGUGUUAUCAUCCAAGGGGAGUGUGGGUCGGAAAAGCCUGCCUCUUCUUUUUUCUCCUUUGGUUUUUUAGACUCAACCAUGUUGUUGAGUCUCUUUGUAGUUAUUUCUUCUCAUUUCUCUUCCUACUGUUGAUUUCUAGUUUCAUGCCGUUGUGGACAGAGAAGAUGCUUGAAAUAAUUUCUAUACCUGUAAGUUUGUUGACUUUUUUGUGUUAGUAUGUGGUCAAUCCUAGAGAAUAUUUUAUGGGCACUUGAGAAGAAAUUCUAUUUUUUGGGGAUGUAGUGUCCUAAAAAUAUGAUACAUCUAAACGUUCCAUUGGGUUUAGGAUCUCUGUUGCCAUAUUGGUUUUCUGUCUAGAAGAUCGUUCGCUGAUGUGAGUGGGAUGUUUAAGUCUCUUUCUGUUGUUGUAUUUCCAUCAAUUUCUGCAUUUAUGUCUAUUAGUAUUUGUUGUAUGUAUUUGGGUGAUUCUAUAUUGGGGCAUGUGUAUUGAUGAGUGUAAAAUACUCUUCCUAUAGUUAUCCUUUUAUCAUUAUAUAGUAUCCUUCUUUAUCUUUCUUUUUGGCCUUUGUUUUAAAAUCUGAAAUGAGUAUUGUAUCCCCCCCUUUGCUGUCAUUUUCAUUUGCAUGAAAUAUCUUUUUCUGUCCCUUCACUUUCAAUCCCUGUGUGUCCUUUGCCCUAAAGUGGAUCUCCUGUAGGCAGCAUAGUGUAGGCUCUUGGUUUUUUGUUACCUUUUUUUUUUUUUUUUCUUUUCCCCACAUCCAUGGCAUGCAGAGGUUCCUGGCCCGAGGAUGGAGCCUGAACUAUAAGUGACACUGCCAAAUCCUUAACCACUAGGCCACCAGGGAACUCCCUCAGCCUGUAUCUUUGAGCUCUGUUGUGGGUCAGGCCCCUGGGGAUCAGGCUGUGCUGAAGCUCCCAACCGCUCCUACCCAUGGCUGCCACAAAGCCUCCUCCCUGGCACCCCUUGCCCUCAGGCUACUGGUGGGUUUGACAGCGGCUGGACCUUGCAGGGUAGGAAGGGCGGUUCUGCCUUUCCUUCUCUGUGUCUUCGGGGCCUCUCCAGCUUGAGCUGCACCUCUUGUGUGGCUCUAGCUCCUACCAUGUGGCCCUGUCUGGGAUCUGAUCACCCCAUCUCUCCCCUCUAUGCCCCCAGCCCGGGGUGGGCAGUGUCCUGCCCAUACUUACUGCUGUUUUUCACCUUCUGCGCGAUUUACCUUCUCAGAGUCUUCCUCACUCAUGGGACCAGUUCCCUAGACACAAUUCUCUCGGCCUGAGAGACCCGGGGGGCUUCUGUUUCCUGGUUGGGUCCUUCCUGCUUCCCCUGGCCGAUGUCUUGGCGGCACACACUGCAAUGGUCUGCCUCUGAGGCUCCGUCCUUCCCAGAACUAUGAGCAGCCUGCUUCUUUUUUGGGUGACCUGUCUUCCUACAGAGUCAUACCCACGUAUGAAUACUUUCCACCUUACGGUUCCCCUGUGAGCUGGAUCCACAAGCCCUUGCUCCGUUUGCAAAUGAGGCAGGGGAGGAUGAACCAUUUGCCAGCAGCCACAUCUAUUCCUGCAGCAGUGGGAUCUGAACCCUGGCACCUGGGCAGCCGUUGCGGGGUGAGAGUGAGGGCUCUGUGUGGCUUGGGGCCCAGCUUCCAGGCCUGGAGGCAUCUGUCCUGAGGGUGACCUUGCCUCAGUCCCAGCGGGGCAGUGAGGCACCCAUGAUGCCAGGCUCACCCGAUGGUCCUGGCUCCAGGGUGACGCCACCCUAGAGAGGAGAGAACCCAGCUUUGUGGAGGACACACACUCUCUCGAGGCCACGGAGUGAGGCGGGCAGGGCUGUAGACCCCAGCCGCCAGACCUCCGAUGAUGUCACCCCCCUUGGUACCACCUCCCGUGGCUUCCGGAGUGGGUGGGGCCCGGGCAGGUUCAGCAGGCCAACUCAAGGGCGUCACGAGGUGCCAGCUCCAGGCCCUGCCGCAAGCGUGGCCCUCCCUGAGGUCCCUCAGUGCCACCUCACUUGUGCAGGGUGCAUCCUGCAGCCCCAGCAGACGUUCCGGCAUCCGGGACUGGGCACAGCCUACGUGGCAGCUUGGGAGGCUGCAGGGGGUGGGGGGAGGGGGCAGCCCUCCAGUCUUUGGACAAGAGGACUAGCCCAGCCCCUGAGCCUGCCUUGACCUCUUUCUCCCGCCCCCUCGGGAGCAGGUGUGCGGGCUCUGGGCCCUGGACCACGGACUCCUCCUCCCUCUUGCUCCCAGAGACCCGGCGCCUUGCACACGCAAGGCCUCACUCCCCAAGCUCAGCCUGUUUUAGGGCCAGGUGUGUGGGGGCUCAGAGGGUCUGUGCUGUGGCCUCAGCUCUCAUCCCAGGCCUUGUAGCUGAGACCAGCCCUCCUGGCAGCGACUUCUCACCCCAGCAGCUCCAGGAAUCUCAAAGGCCUGGCUUGUGAGCUUAUGGGGUCCUGUUACAUGCUCUGAGAGAGGCUGCCCUUGGAGUUCCCAGUGUGGCUCAGCAGGCUAAGGACCUGACACUGUCUCUGUGAGGAUGUGAGUUCGAUCCCUGACCUUGCUCAGUGGGUUAAGGAUCUGGCAUGGCUGUCAGCUGUGGCAUAGGUCACAGAUGCAGCUCAGAUCGGGUGUUGCUGUGGCUGUGGUGUAGGUCAUAGCUGCAGCUCCAUUUUGCCCCCUGGUCCGAGAACUUCCAUGUGCUGCGGGUAUGGCCAUAAAAGAAAAAGAAGAGGCUGCCCAGAGAGGCUGAGACACCUCCUUUGGGGCACACAGCACCUUCCCCGGCUGUGCUCUUGCCUGCAGACCCUUCCCACACCUCACUCCUCUCCGCUUCUCCUCUUUUCCGAGAAACUCAGAACGUGGGGGCCAAAUGGAGCCCAAGCGCUCAAGUUGUGCCCAUUCUGCCUGGGCUCACACAGAAGGAUGCCCGGGUGGACCCCAGACAGCCUGACUCCACUGCCGCUGGCGGGCCAAGUCCUCAGAGGGCACGGGCAGGACCCUGCCUCUGGAAGGCAGGGCUGCCCUAUAGUGUGUGGGGGUGACUAGCCGUUCAGAGGUCCUGGAAGCCCCUCCCCUGUCCUUCCCGCCUGUUUCUUCACGUGGGUGUGGGACCAGGUGUGGUGGGAGUACAUUUCUGUCAGCCCUGUCUCUGAGCCCAGAAAGGGGGACGCUAAUGAGAGCUGAGUGGCUGGCAUCAGGAUGGCAGCCUGGAGGUGGGCCAGUAGUGGGGCCUGUGCCCAGCUCUGGGGGGACAGUUUUGGCUCCUGCAGGAGCCAGCAGGAAGGACGUGGCCACGGGGCACACAGGGGCCAGCACGCAGCCGCCGCUGACGGCCCCCACCAAGCGGGGCAGUGCUGGGGCAGCUCAGGCUGGAGUCCCGGCUCGGCACACACAGAGCUCACAUCGUGGCUCUGCAGUGAAUGAACCCGACUAGAAUCCACGAGGAUAUGGGUUCGAUCCCUGGCCCCGCUCAGUGGGUGAAGGAUCUGGUAGGUUGCAGACGCAGCUCGGAUCUGGUGUUGCUGUGGCUCUGGCGUAGGCCGGCAGCUACAGCUUUGAUUGAACCCCUAGCCUGGGAACCUCCAUGUGCUGCAGGUGCAGUCCUAAAAAAAAUAAGACAAAAAAAAAAAAAAAAAAA